Molecule: ribosomal RNA, 468 nt
Filed under: uncultured bacterium
Lineage: Bacteria
Description: partial 16S ribosomal RNA
Rfam family: Bacterial small subunit ribosomal RNA
Source: RNAcentral
GACGAACGCUGGCGGCGUGCUUAACACAUGCAAGUCGAACGGAAAGGCCCUGCUUUUGUGGGGUGCUCGAGUGGCGAACGGGUGAGUAACACGUGAGUAACCUGCCCUUGACUUUGGGAUAACUUCAGGAAACAGGGGCGAAUACCGGAUAGGAGCUCCUGCUGCAUGGGGGGGGUUGGAAAGUUUCGGCGGUUGGGGCUGGACUCGCGGCUUAUCAGCUUGUUGGUGGGGUAGUGGCUUUCAAAGGCUUUGACGGGUAGCCGGCAUGAGAGGGUGGACAGGCACAAUGGGACUGAGAUACGGACCAGUAUCGUACCGGAGGCAGUAGUGGAGAACCUUGCGCAACAGGCGCACGUCUGAGACGGAAAUGCUGCGUGCGUGAUGCUCGGUUACGGGGGAAGAACAGAUUUCGCAGUUGACGAGGAGUGCUUGACGGUACUUGGUAAGAAAGCCACGGCUAACUACGUG